Molecule: ribosomal RNA, 388 nt
Filed under: uncultured bacterium
Lineage: Bacteria
Description: bacterial SSU rRNA
Rfam family: Bacterial small subunit ribosomal RNA
Source: RNAcentral
GGGUUGUAUACUUCUUUUAUAUUAGAAUAAAGUGCAGUAUGUAUACUGUUUUGUAUGUGUAAUAUGAAUAAGGAUCGGCUAACUCCGUGCCAGCAGCCGCGGUAAUACGGAGGAUCCGAGCGUUAUCCGGAUUUAUUGGGUUUAAAGGGAGCGUAGGUGGGCUGGUAAGUCAGUUGUGAAAGUUUGCGGCUCAACCGUAAAAUUGCAGUUGAUACUGUCAGUCUUGAGUACAGUAGAGGUGGGCGGAAUUCGUGGUGUAGCGGUGAAAUGCUUAGAUAUCACGAAGAACUCCGAUUGCGAAGGCAGCUCACUGGACUGCAACUGACACUGAUGCUCGAAAGUGUGGGUAUCAAACAGGAUUACAUACCCUGGUAGUCCACACAGUAAA